UAGGGAAUCUUCCACAAUGGACGAAAGUCUGAUGGAGCAACGCCGCGUGAGUGAAGAAGGUUUUCGGAUCGUAAAGCUCUGUUGUUGGUGAAGAAGGAUAGGGGCAGUAACUGGUCUUUAUUUGACGGUAAUCAACCAGAAAGUCACGGCUAACUACGUGCUAG
Molecule: ribosomal RNA, 164 nt
Filed under: uncultured bacterium
Lineage: Bacteria
Description: partial 16S rRNA
Rfam family: Bacterial small subunit ribosomal RNA
Source: RNAcentral